AUUGAACGCUGGCGGCAUGCUUUACACAUGCAAGUCGAACGGUAACAGGCCGCAAGGUGCUGACGAGUGGCGAACGGGUGAGUAAUGCAUCGGAACGUGCCCAGUCGUGGGGGAUAACUACUCGAAAGAGUAGCUAAUACCGCAUACGAUCUAUGGAUGAAAGCGGGGGACCGUAAGGCCUCGCGCGAUUGGAGCGGCCGAUGUCAGAUUAGGUAGUUGGUGGGGUAAAGGCUCACCAAGCCAACGAUCUGUAGCUGGUCUGAGAGGACGACCAGCCACACUGGGACUGAGACACGGCCCAGACUCCUACGGGAGGCAGCAGUGGGGAAUUUUGGACAAUGGGCGCAAGCCCGAUCCAGCAAUGCCGCGUGCAGGAAGAAGGCCUUCGGGUUGUAAACUGCUUUUGUACGGAACGAAACGGCUCUGGUUAAUACCCGGGGCUAAUGACGGUACCGUAAGAAUAAGCACCGGCUAACUACGUG
This 482-nucleotide ribosomal RNA is filed under the name uncultured bacterium. Its description in RNAcentral is "partial 16S ribosomal RNA". It matches the Rfam family "Bacterial small subunit ribosomal RNA", at positions 30 to 507 of the family's 1533-position model. The record is from RNAcentral.